RNAcentral lists this ribosomal RNA (506 nucleotides) under uncultured bacterium. RNAcentral's name for it is "partial 16S ribosomal RNA". It matches the Rfam family "Bacterial small subunit ribosomal RNA", at positions 29 to 523 of the family's 1533-position model. The record is from RNAcentral.
AGUGAACGCUGGCGGUAGGCCUAACACAUGCAAGUCGAACGGCAGCACAGAGGAGCUUGCUCCUUGGGUGGCGAGUGGCGGACGGGUGAGGAAUACAUCGGAAUCUACUCUGUCGUGGGGGAUAACGGAGGGAAACUUACGCUAAUACCGCAUACGACCUACGGGUGAAAGCAGGGGACCUUCGGGCCUUGCGCGAUUGGAUGAGCCGAUGUCGGAUUAGCUAGUUGGCGGGGUAAAGGCCCACCAAGGCGACGAUCCGUAGCUGGUCUGAGAGGAUGAUCAGCCACACUGGAACUGAGACACGGUCCAGACUCCUACGGGAGGCAGCAGUGGGGAAUAUUGGACAAUGGGCGCAAGCCUGAUCCAGCCAUACCGCGUGGGUGAAGAAGGCCUUCGGGUUGUAAAGCCCUUUUGUUGGGAAAGAAAUCCAGCUGGCUAAUACCCGGUUGGGAUGACGGUACCCAAAGAAUAAGCACCGGCUAACUUCGUGCCAGCAGCCGCCGUAA